Molecule: ribosomal RNA, 526 nt
Filed under: uncultured bacterium
Lineage: Bacteria
Description: bacterial SSU rRNA
Rfam family: Bacterial small subunit ribosomal RNA
Source: RNAcentral
ACAUCCAGAGACUUAGCAGAGAUGCUUUGGUGCCUUCGGGAACUCUGAGACAGGUGCUGCAUGGCUGUCGUCAGCUCGUGUUGCGAAAUGUUGGGUUAAGUCCCGNAACGAGCGCAACCCUUUAUCCUUUGUUGCCAGCGGUUCGGCCGGGAACUCAAAGGAGACUGCCGGUGAUAAACCGGAGGAAGGUGGGGAUGACGUCAAGUCAUCAUGGCCCUUACGGCCAGGGCUACACACGUGCUACAAUGGCGCAUACAAAGAGAAGCGACCUCGCGAGAGCAAGCGGACCUCAUAAAGUGCGUCGUAGUCCGGAUUGGAGUCUGCAACUCGACUCCAUGAAGUCGGAAUCGCUAGUAAUCGUAGAUCAGAAUGCUACGGUGAAUACGUUCCCCGGGCCUUGUACACACCGCCCGUCACACCAUGGGAGUGGGUUGCAAAAGAAGUAGGUAGCUUAACCUUCGGGAGGGCGCUUACCACUUUGUGAUUCAUGACUGGGGUGAAGUCGUAACAAGGUAGGCGUAGCGAG